AAUAGAUACCCAGGUAGUCCACGCCGUAAACGAUGAUGACUAGCUGUCGGGGCGCUUAGCGUUCCGGUGGCGCAGCUAACGCGUUAAGUCAUCCGCCUGGGGAGUACGGCCGCAAGGUUAAAACUCAAAGAAAUUGACGGGGGCCUGCACAAGCGGUGGAGCAUGUGGUUUAAUUCGACGCAACGCGAAGAACCUUACCUGGGCUUGACAUGUCCGUGACAACUGUGGAAACACAGUCUCCCUUCGGGGCACGGUCACAGGUGGUGCAUGGCUGUCGUCAGCUCGUGUCGUGAGAUGUUGGGUUAAGUCCCGCAACGAGCGCAACCCUCGUCCUCAGUUGCCAUCAUUCAGUUGGGCACUCUGGGGAGACUGCCGGUGAUAAGCCGCGAGGAAGGUGUGGAUGACGUCAAGUCCUCAUGGCCCUUACGGGAUGGGCUACACACGUGCUACAAUAGCGGUGACAGUGGGACGCGAACCCGCGAGGGCAAGCAAAUCUCCAAAAGCCGUCUCAGUUCGGAUUGUA
Molecule: ribosomal RNA, 523 nt
Filed under: uncultured bacterium
Lineage: Bacteria
Description: bacterial SSU rRNA
Rfam family: Bacterial small subunit ribosomal RNA
Source: RNAcentral